Portunus trituberculatus (swimming crab) is the source of this 409-nucleotide long non-coding RNA. RefSeq lists it as uncharacterized. The transcript has 3 exons. The record is from RefSeq and is a predicted model, not a curated record. NCBI's taxonomy places the organism in Eukaryota, Metazoa, Arthropoda, Malacostraca, Decapoda, Portunidae.
GCUGCAAUGUUGCCAACCCGUGAGGCGCGAAUUGUGUCACAAAACCCGUCGUGAAAAGUACCUAUACCAAAUUCCUCAUACUUUUCCCCACACUUUGGGGCAGUAUCUGCCUAUCUGGGGAGGAAUGGCUCUUUAUACUGUGUAUAGUAACUAUAGUUAAUACUGAGUGUAAUAUACUAAUAUAAUACACAUAUUUUUAAUACUAUAAUCUCAAUUUAAAUUAAUUUCUUACAUUACACUUACAAUUUUCUUCCUAAAACACCUUUUCGUAGUGUGCAUUCUUGUACACACUAGCCUUGUCAUGUACCCCUCCAUGUACCCCAUUAUUUCCAUGUACCCUUUGAAAAAAAUCAUGCACCCUGGGGUGCACCAUGCACCCAGGUUGACUAUCACUGCUCUAUAGUAUGCG